RNAcentral lists this ribosomal RNA (479 nucleotides) under uncultured bacterium. RNAcentral describes it as "partial 16S ribosomal RNA". It matches the Rfam family "Bacterial small subunit ribosomal RNA", at positions 28 to 499 of the family's 1533-position model. The record is from RNAcentral.
GACGAACGCUGGCGGCGUGCUUAACACAUGCAAGUCGAACGGUAAGGCCCUUCGGGGUACACGAGUGGCGAACGGGUGAGUAACACGUGGGUGAUCUGCCCUGCACUUCGGGAUAAGCCUGGGAAACUGGGUCUAAUACCGGGUAGGACCACUGCCUGCAUGGGUGGUGGUGGAAAGCUUUUGCGGUGUGGGAUGGGCCCGCGGCCUAUCAGCUUGUUGGUGGGGUGAUGGCCUACCAAGGCGACGACGGGUAGCCGGCCUGAGAGGGUGACCGGCCAGACUGGGGCUGAGAUACGGCCCAGACUCCUACGGGAGGCAGCAGUGGGGAAUAUUGCACAAUGGGCGCAAGCCUGAUGCAGCGACGCCGCGUGAGGGAUGACGGCCUUCGGGUUGUAAACCUCUUUCAGCACCGACGAAGCGCAAGUGACGGUAGGUGCAGAAGAAGAUAAUGACGGUAUCCGGAGAAGAAGCCCCGGCUA